Molecule: transfer RNA, 64 nt
Filed under: Elimaea berezovskii
Lineage: Eukaryota; Metazoa; Arthropoda; Insecta; Orthoptera; Tettigoniidae
Description: tRNA-Thr
Rfam family: tRNA
About the family: Transfer RNA (tRNA) molecules are approximately 80 nucleotides in length. Their secondary structure includes four short double-helical elements and three loops (D, anti-codon, and T loops). Further hydrogen bonds mediate the characteristic L-shaped molecular structure. tRNAs have two regions of fundamental functional importance: the anti-codon, which is responsible for specific mRNA codon recognition, and the 3' end, to which the tRNAs corresponding amino acid is attached (by aminoacyl-tRNA synthetases). tRNAs cope with the degeneracy of the genetic code in two manners: having more than one tRNA (with a specific anti-codon) for a particular amino acid; and 'wobble' base-pairing, i.e. permitting non-standard base-pairing at the 3rd anti-codon position.
Source: RNAcentral
GUUUUAAUAGUUUAAAUAAAAUACUGGUCUUGUAAACCAGAGAUAAGAUUCCCCUUUUAAAACU